This 498-nucleotide ribosomal RNA is filed under the name uncultured bacterium. RNAcentral's name for it is "partial 16S ribosomal RNA". It matches the Rfam family "Bacterial small subunit ribosomal RNA", at positions 28 to 523 of the family's 1533-position model. The record is from RNAcentral.
GAUGAACGCUAGCGGCAGGCUUAAUACAUGCAAGUCGAACGGGAUUGAGAAGCUUGCUUUUCAUGAGAGUGGCGCACGGGUGCGUAACACGUAUGCAACCUGCCUUGUCCAGGGGGAUAGCCCGUUGAAAGACGGAUUAAGACCGCAUAACAUCAUUGAAUGGCAUCGUUUAAUGAUCAAAUAUUUAUAGGGACAAGAUGGGCAUGCGUCUGAUUAGCUAGUUGGCGGGGUAAUGGCCCACCAAGGCGACGAUCAGUAGGGGGUCUGAGAGGAUGACCCCCCACACUGGUACUGAGACACGGACCAGACUACUACGGGAGGCAGCAGUGAGGAAUAUUGGUCAAUGGGCGCAAGCCUGAACCAGCCAUGCCGCGUGCAGGAAGACGGCCCUACGGGUUGUAAACUGCUUUUAUACGGGAAUAACCCCGGUUUCGUGAAACCGGCUGAAUGUACCGUAAGAAUAAGGAUCGGCUAACUCCGUGCCAGCCGCCGCGGUAA